This 565-nucleotide ribosomal RNA is filed under the name Enterobacter asburiae. RNAcentral's name for it is "bacterial SSU rRNA". It matches the Rfam family "Bacterial small subunit ribosomal RNA", at positions 558 to 1123 of the family's 1533-position model. The record is from RNAcentral. Lineage: Bacteria; Pseudomonadati; Pseudomonadota; Gammaproteobacteria; Enterobacterales; Enterobacteriaceae.
GCGUAAGCGCACGCAGGCGGUCUGUCAAGUCGGAUGUGAAAUCCCCGGGCUCAACCUGGGAACUGCAUUCGAAACUGGCAGGCUAGAGUCUUGUAGAGGGGGGUAGAAUUCCAGGUGUAGCGGUGAAAUGCGUAGAGAUCUGGAGGAAUACCGGUGGCGAAGGCGGCCCCCUGGACAAAGACUGACGCUCAGGUGCGAAAGCGUGGGGAGCAAACAGGAUUAGAUACCCUGGUAGUCCACGCCGUAAACGAUGUCGACUUGGAGGUUGUGCCCUUGAGGCGUGGCUUCCGGAGCUAACGCGUUAAGUCGACCGCCUGGGGAGUACGGCCGCAAGGUUAAAACUCAAAUGAAUUGACGGGGGCCCGCACAAGCGGUGGAGCAUGUGGUUUAAUUCGAUGCAACGCGAAGAACCUUACCUACUCUUGACAUCCAGAGAACUUUGCAGAGAUGCAUUGGUGCCUUCGGGAACUCUGAGACAGGUGCUGCAUGGCUGUCGUCAGCUCGUGUUGUGAAAUGUUGGGUUAAGUCCCGCAACGAGCGCAACCCUUAUCCUUUGUUGCCAGCG